GGGGAAUAUUGCACAAUGGGCGCAAGCCUGAUGCAGCCAUGCCGCGUGUGACGAAGGCCUUCGGGUUGUAAAGCACUUUCAGCGGGGAGGAAGGCGAUAAGGUUAAUAACUUUGUCGAUUGACGUUACCCGCAGAAGAAGCACCGGCUAACUCCGUGCCAGCAGCCGCGGUAAUACGGAGGGUGCAAGCGUUAAUCGGAAUUACUGGGCGUAAAGCGCACGCAGGCGGUCUGUCAAGUCGGAUGUGAAAUCCCCGGGCUCAACCUGGGAACUGCAUUCGAAACUGGCAGGCUAGAGUCUUGUAGAGGGGGGUAGAAUUCCAGGUGUAGCGGUGAAAUGCGUAGAGAUCUGGAGGAAUACCGGUGGCGAAGGCGGCCCCCUGGACAAAGACUGACGCUCAGGUGCGAAAGCGUGGGGAGCAAAC
Molecule: ribosomal RNA, 423 nt
Filed under: uncultured bacterium
Lineage: Bacteria
Description: bacterial SSU rRNA
Rfam family: Bacterial small subunit ribosomal RNA
Source: RNAcentral